This 497-nucleotide ribosomal RNA is filed under the name uncultured bacterium. RNAcentral describes it as "partial 16S ribosomal RNA". It matches the Rfam family "Bacterial small subunit ribosomal RNA", at positions 28 to 507 of the family's 1533-position model. The record is from RNAcentral.
GAUGAACGCUGGCGGCGUGCCUAAUACAUGCAAGUCGAGCGAACGGACUAGAAGCUUGCUUCUCUGAUGUUAGCGGCGGACGGGUGAGUAACACGUGGAUAACCUACCUAUAAGACUGGGAUAACUUCGGGAAACCGUAGCUAAUACCGGAUAAUAUUUUGAACCGCAUGGUUCAAAAGUGAAAGACGGUCUUGCUGUCACUUAUAGAUGGAUCCGCGCUGCAUUAGCUAGUUGGUAAGGUAACGGCUUACCAAGGCAACGAUGCAUAGCCGACCUGAGAGGGUGAUCGGCCACACUGGAACUGAGACACGGUCCAGACUCCUACGGGAGGCAGCAGUAGGGAAUCUUCCGCAAUGGGCGAAAGCCUGACGGAGCAACGCCGCGUGAGUGAUGAAGGUCUUCGGAUCGUAAAACUCUGUUAUUAGGGAAGAACAUAUGUGUAAGUAACUGUGCACAUCUUGACGGUACCUAAUCAGAAAGCCACGGCUAACUACGUG